Molecule: ribosomal RNA, 250 nt
Filed under: uncultured bacterium
Lineage: Bacteria
Description: partial 16S ribosomal RNA
Rfam family: Bacterial small subunit ribosomal RNA
Source: RNAcentral
UACGGAGGGUGCAAGCGUUGUUCGGAAUUAUUGGGCGUAAAGCGCGUGUAGGCGGCUAUUUAAGUCUGAUGUGAAAGCCCGGGGCUCAACCCCGGAAGUGCAUUUGAAACUGUGAGGCUUGAGUAUAGGAGAGGUAAGUGGAAUUCCUAGUGUAGCGGUGAAAUGCGUAGAUAUCGGGAGGAACACCAGUGGCGAAGGCGGCUUCCUGGCCGGAUACUGACGCUCAAGUGCGAAAGCUGGGGGAGCGAAC